This 253-nucleotide ribosomal RNA is filed under the name uncultured bacterium. RNAcentral describes it as "partial 16S ribosomal RNA". It matches the Rfam family "Bacterial small subunit ribosomal RNA", at positions 524 to 776 of the family's 1533-position model. The record is from RNAcentral.
UACGUAGGGGGCAAGCGUUGUCCGGAUUUAUUGGGCGUAAAGCGCACGCAGGCGGUCUUUUAAGUUUCGAGUGACAGGUGGUGGCUCAACUGCCACAGGCCUUGGAAAACUGGAAGACUUGAGGACGAGAGAGGGACGCGGAAUUCCAGGUGGAGCGGUGAAAUGCGUAGAGAUCUGGAAGAACACCAGUGGCGAAGGCGGUUGCCUGGAGCUUUGCUGACGCUGAUGCGCGAAAGCGUGGGGAGCGAUCCGG